ACAGAGGGCGCGAGCGUUGUCCGGAAUCACUGGGCGUAAAGGGCGCGUAGGUGGCGGCGCAAGCGUGCGGUGAAAGCCCGGGGCUCAACCCCGGGUCGGCCGUGCGAACUGCGUUGCUCGAGCGUGGUAGAGGCGGGUGGAAUUCCGGGUGUAGCGGUGGAAUGCGUAGAGAUCCGGAAGAACACCGGUGGCGAAGGCGGCCCGCUGGGCCACGGCUGACACUGAGGCGCGACAGCGUGGGGAGCAAACAGGA
RNAcentral lists this ribosomal RNA (253 nucleotides) under uncultured prokaryote. RNAcentral's name for it is "partial 16S ribosomal RNA". It matches the Rfam family "Bacterial small subunit ribosomal RNA", at positions 525 to 777 of the family's 1533-position model. The record is from RNAcentral.